UAAGACGAACCGAGCGAACGUUGUUCGGAAUCACUGGGCUUAAAGGGCGCGUAGGCGGGCUGCCAAGUCUGGGGUGAAAUCCUCCGGCUCAACCGGGGAAGGGCCUCGGAUACUGGCGGCCUCGAGGGGGGUAGGGGCGUGCGGAACUGUGGGUGGAGCGGUGAAAUGCGUUGAUAUCCACAGGAACUCCGGUGGCGAAGGCGGCACGCUGGACCCUCACUGACGCUGAGGCGCGAAAGCCAGGGGAGCGAACGGGAUUAGAUACCCCGGUAGUCCUGGCCCUAAACGUUGGGGACUAGGUAGUAGCCCGGACAUGGGGUUACUGCCGGAGCAAAAGUGCUAAGUCCCCCGCCUGGGGAGUAUGGUCGCAAGGCUG
Molecule: ribosomal RNA, 376 nt
Filed under: uncultured bacterium
Lineage: Bacteria
Description: bacterial SSU rRNA
Rfam family: Bacterial small subunit ribosomal RNA
Source: RNAcentral